This is a long non-coding RNA of Zonotrichia leucophrys gambelii, 476 nucleotides long. RefSeq lists it as uncharacterized. The record is from RefSeq and is a predicted model, not a curated record. Lineage: Eukaryota; Metazoa; Chordata; Aves; Passeriformes; Passerellidae. The transcript has 4 exons.
ACUGAGACCAAAUUUUUUACAGACAUUAAGGCAGUAGAGAGAUUUCAGCAUCAUUGUUGUGUAAAUGGCUUGGCCCUCAGAAGGACAUAUACCCGCCUCUGAAUAGCAAAACUGAGCCAUGACUUCCAGGACAAAAACUUCAGUGAUUAAUCUAAGUAGAAGAUUUAUGAGCAGCUAAAAUCCCCCAUGAAGAAAGCAUCUUCUAGCCAAGAAUUUUCUGUACCCUGCUGUCCUUAUGUUUGACUGGAAGAGAUGUGUGUGCAUUGAUUAGCCACGUUGCUGCAAGUAGCACCACCUUACUGGCUUUACCAGCAUAACAUACUCUCAAGAUUUCUAAUGGAUGUUCUGGAAUUUGAAGGCUUGUUCAGUGCUACAUUGCUGUGAUUUACCACGCUGCCUUUGUGAUUGAUACGCAUUAUUGGCAAUUUGGAGAAUGAAACAGUGCACAGAAAUGAUGAAAAUUGCUGAAUAAAAUG